AGUUCUCUUCCUUGGCAUGAAACGUUUUACACACUCCUCAAUUUUAUGUCUGAAAUUACAUCAACAAAUGAGAACGCUAUCUGGAUGUUUCUUGAGGCUCUGUAUCAUGCACCAGUGCCAGUGCCUGGACACACACUUCGUGUGUUGUGGAACAGUAACCAGAAACUGUUUAUGACGCAUUGCCCUGAUCAUAGAAAAUUACCAUCUAUUCCAGAAAAU
This is a long non-coding RNA of Limulus polyphemus (Atlantic horseshoe crab), 219 nucleotides long. RefSeq lists it as uncharacterized. The transcript is spliced from 3 exons. The record is from RefSeq and is a predicted model, not a curated record. Lineage: Eukaryota; Metazoa; Arthropoda; Merostomata; Xiphosura; Limulidae.